UACAUGACAAGUACGAACGAAGAAGCGAGGAGUCUGCCUCUGGUAGGAAGUGGCGGACGGGUGAGUAACACGUAGGAACCUGCCUUUGAGUGGGGGACAACAGAGGGAAACUUCUGCUAAUACCCCAUAUGAGCGAGCUGAAAUGCUAUUCUUGAAAACUCCGGUGCUCAAAGAUGGGCCUGCGUCUGAUUAGCUUGUUGGCGGUGUAAUGGACCACCAAGGCGACGAUCAGUAGCUGGUUUGAGAGGAUGAUCAGCCACAAUGGGACUGAGACACGGCCCAUACUCCUACGGGAGGCAGCAGUAGGGAAUUUUGCGCAAUGGGCGAAAAAGCCUGACGCAGCAACGCCGCGUGAACGUAGAAGCCCUUCGGGGUGUAAAGUUCUGUCAGAGGGGACGAAUUUUGACGGUACCCUCAGAGGAAGCACCGGCUAACUCCGUGCCAGCCGCGGC
Molecule: ribosomal RNA, 452 nt
Filed under: uncultured bacterium
Lineage: Bacteria
Description: bacterial SSU rRNA
Rfam family: Bacterial small subunit ribosomal RNA
Source: RNAcentral